This 253-nucleotide ribosomal RNA is filed under the name uncultured prokaryote. Its description in RNAcentral is "partial 16S ribosomal RNA". It matches the Rfam family "Bacterial small subunit ribosomal RNA", at positions 524 to 776 of the family's 1533-position model. The record is from RNAcentral.
UACAGAGGUCUCAAGCGUUGUUCGGAUUCAUUGGGCGUAAAGGGUGCGUAGGCGGCGCGGUAAGUCGGGUGUGAAAUUUCGGAGCUUAACUCCGAAACUGCAUUCGAUACUGCCGUGCUUGAGGACUGGAGAGGAGACUGGAAUUUACGGUGUAGCAGUGAAAUGCGUAGAGAUGUGGAGGAAUACCGAUGGCGAAGGCAGCCCCCUGGGCCAAUACUGACGCUCAUGCACGAAAGCGUGGGGAGCAUACAGG